Molecule: ribosomal RNA, 429 nt
Filed under: Verrucomicrobiota bacterium
Lineage: Bacteria; Pseudomonadati; Verrucomicrobiota
Description: Verrucomicrobia bacterium partial 16S ribosomal RNA
Rfam family: Bacterial small subunit ribosomal RNA
Source: RNAcentral
UAGGGAAUCUUCCGCAAUGGACGAAAGUCUGACGGAGCAACGCCGCGUGAGUGAAGAAGGAUUUCGGUUCGUAAAACUCUGUUGUUAGGGAAGAAAAAAUGUAUAGUAACUAUAUACAAAAGAGACGGUACCUAACCAGAAAGCCACGGCUAACUACGUGCCAGCAGCCGCGGUAAUACGGAGGUGGCAAGCGUUGUCCGGAAUUAUUGGGCGUAAAGCGCGCGCAGGUGGUUUAGAAAGUCUGAUGUGAAAGCCCACGGCUCAACCGUGGAGGGUCAUUGGAAACUAAUAAACUUGAGUGCAGGAGAGAAAAGUGGAAUUCCUAGUGUAGCGGUGAAAUGCGUAGAGAUUAGGAGGAACACCGGUGGCGAAAGCGGCUUUUUGGCCUGCAACUGACGCUGAGGCGCGAAAGCGUGGGGAGCAAACAGG